RNAcentral lists this transfer RNA (71 nucleotides) under Eubacterium sp. Its description in RNAcentral is "tRNA-Gly". It matches the Rfam family "tRNA". Rfam says of the family: Transfer RNA (tRNA) molecules are approximately 80 nucleotides in length. Their secondary structure includes four short double-helical elements and three loops (D, anti-codon, and T loops). RNAcentral also lists the same sequence under 1 other name. The record is from RNAcentral. Lineage: Bacteria; Bacillati; Bacillota; Clostridia; Eubacteriales; Eubacteriaceae.
GCGAAUAUGGUGUAAUGGCAACACGUCUGCUUCCCAAGCAGGAAAUGCGGGUUCGAUUCCCGUUAUUCGCU